Molecule: ribosomal RNA, 462 nt
Filed under: uncultured ammonia-oxidizing beta proteobacterium
Lineage: Bacteria; Pseudomonadati; Pseudomonadota; Betaproteobacteria
Description: bacterial SSU rRNA
Rfam family: Bacterial small subunit ribosomal RNA
Source: RNAcentral
AAGCAGGGGAUCGCAAGACCUUGCGCUUUUGGAGCGGCCGAUGUCUGAUUAGCUAGUUGGUAGGGUAAAGGCUUACCAAGGCAACGAUCAGUAGUUGGUCUGAGAGGACGACCAGCCACACUGGGACUGAGACACGGCCCAGACUCCUACGGGAGGCAGCAGUGGGGAAUUUUGGACAAUGGGCGAAAGCCUGAUCCAGCCAUGCCGCGUGAGUGAAGAAGGCCUUCGGGUUGUAAAGCUCUUUCAGUCGAGAAGAAAAAAUUGCGACUAAUAAUCGCAAUUCAUGACGGUAUCGACAGAAGAAGCACCGGCUAACUACGUGCCAGCAGCCGCGGUAAUACGUAGGGUGCAAGCGUUAAUCGGAAUUACUGGGCGUAAAGGGUGCGCAGGCGGCCUUGUAAGUCAGAUGUGAAAUCCCCGGGCUUAACCUGGGAACUGCGUUUGAAACUACAAAGCUAGAGU